This 428-nucleotide ribosomal RNA is filed under the name uncultured archaeon. RNAcentral's name for it is "bacterial SSU rRNA". It matches the Rfam family "Archaeal small subunit ribosomal RNA", at positions 474 to 903 of the family's 1478-position model. The record is from RNAcentral.
UACCAGCUCUCCGAGUUGUAGGGAUGAUUAUUGGGCUUAAAGCGUCCGUAGCUGGCUUAGCAAGUCUCCUGUUAAAUUCAGCGACCUAAUCGUUGAGCCGCGGGAGAUACUACUAGGCUAGGAGGCGGGAGAGGUCGACGGUACUUUCGGGGUAGGGGUGAAAUCCUAUAAUCCCGGGAGGACCAUCAGUGGCGAAGGCUGUCGACCAGAACGCGCUCGACGGUGAGGGACGAAAGCUGGGGGAGCGAACCGGAUUAGAUACCCGGGUAGUCCCAGCUGUAAACUAUGCGGGCUAGGUGUUGGGGUGGCUACGGGCCACUUCAGUGCCGCAGGAAAGCCAUUAAGCCCGCCGCCUGGGGAGUACGGCCGCAAGGCUGAAACUUAAAGGAAUUGGCGGGGAGCACCACAAGGCGUGAAGCUUGCGGUUC